AGUGGCUGGUGUGCUCGAUCCACUCAUCCAAAAUACGUUGCGCGGCUGGCGUUGGCGGCUGCAGUUGGAGGUUGGUGCGGCGAGCGGCUUCCGUCCGGCCCUCGCCUGCUGAUCCGCUCCCUCCCUGGUCGGCUGUGUCACCACAUCUGGGAUUCUUCCGGAGUUGCAGCGCUUGGACGCUCCUGCUGUCUUGUCUGUCUUGCCGGUUUUGUUUGGGCCGCUCUCGGCGGAGCCUGCUGACGCUUGGGC
Long non-coding RNA from Cyprinodon tularosa, 249 nucleotides. RefSeq lists it as uncharacterized. NCBI's taxonomy places the organism in Eukaryota, Metazoa, Chordata, Actinopteri, Cyprinodontiformes, Cyprinodontidae. The record is from RefSeq and is a predicted model, not a curated record. The transcript is spliced from 3 exons.